UCUCAAUCAUUUUAAUUUUAUUAUCUAGUUUUUAAAAUUUUAAUUUUGCUAUCUAUUUUUUUAAUUUGUCUAAUUUGAAUUAGUCAACAAUACUCUAAUUUUAAAAUUUAAAUACAUUAUUUAUUUUUAUAUGUUUAAUUAGCAUAUUUUAUACAAUUUUCGUAAAUUUAAAUUAAAUUAUUUUAAAUUUUGAAGUCAAAUUACCACUGACCGGCUGACAUCAAACAAAUUGAAGGGUUAUAUAAUAAAAUCAAAAUAUCGAAAGGUUAGGUGGUUAAACUAAAAUAGUUCGUAGUUCAUAUAAGUUCUAUAUAUUUUUAUUUUAAUAAUUUUUUAUCUUUAUUAUUGUUGUUGUUGAGGAGAAGUGUCGGUGUUGGCAAGUAGAGUAGCAUUUUUCCAUCAUUAAGUUGGGCCCCCUAAAAUUCAAAAUUUUGUGAGCAUUUUGUCUAUGAAUUUUAAGAAUAUUUUUUGUUCCGUUUCCUAUCAAUUUGAGAUUUUAGAACAGUUGGUUGAUGUACAGAGAUCCUGAAAAAUAGUAUUCAAGCUGAUCACUUGUUUCAUUCUCCUGAAUUGUUUUGUAAGUGCUUGUUUGGUGGUUGGUACUCGAGACCCAAGUUCUAAUCCUAAUUGAGUCAUAUUUUUAGCUAAGUUUAUUUCUAAAUGAUAUAAACGAAGCGAGUAUCAUGUUACCUUUCUCUCAAUAUAUAUAUAUAUAUAUGGUAAAUAAAAAAAGAAAAGCAUAUAGGAGAUCUUUCAAUU
This 759-nucleotide long non-coding RNA is filed under the name Ananas comosus (pineapple). Its description in RNAcentral is "long non-coding RNA (ACOM_LNC033669)". The record is from RNAcentral. Lineage: Eukaryota; Viridiplantae; Streptophyta; Magnoliopsida; Poales; Bromeliaceae.